AUGAGAUCCAGAAGCCUGAAAGUUUCUGGAAAGAGCAGAACAAGUUUAGAACUCUCCACUUCAGAGUCAUGAUGGUUCAUCUUAAACUUUAAGAUGUAUCUGGAAGUCCUGGUAUACAGCUAUUCAGACAGACUGUGAAGUUUUCAAGGGCAAAUCUACAUUCAAGGGCAACAGUGGCUUCUAACAGGUGCCUGAUACACUAACUCAACUCCACAGGACACACAGAUCUGGCAUCUUGUCCAACAUCUGGAUGAUACCCAUUUUCAGA
Long non-coding RNA from Mastomys coucha (southern multimammate mouse), 268 nucleotides. RefSeq lists it as uncharacterized. The record is from RefSeq and is a predicted model, not a curated record. The transcript has 3 exons. Lineage: Eukaryota; Metazoa; Chordata; Mammalia; Rodentia; Muridae.